CAACGCCGCGUGAGCGAUGAAGGCCUUCGGGUUGUAAAGCUCUGUCCUGAGGGACGAUAAUGUCGGUGCCGGAUGCCCAGCGACGGACGGUACCGGGCGAGGAACCCCCGGCUAACUACGUGCCAUCAGCCGCUGUAAUACGUAGGGGGCAAGCGUUUGCGUGAAUGCAGUUUUAUGUGAGUGUGUAAGGCUUUUGUUCAGUCUGAUUGACCUUUUCAAACUGGAAAUCUAAAUUGCAGAAAAGAAAAAGGGAAUUCCAUGUGUACGAUUGAAAUGGAAUUCCUUGUGGAGAAACACAAUUGGCAAAGGCGCUUUCCUGGACUGUGACUGACGCUGAGGCCCAAAACCGUGGGGAGCAAUGAGGCUUAAUACCGUGGGGGAGCAAACAGGAUUAGAUACCCUGGUAGUCA
This 410-nucleotide ribosomal RNA is filed under the name uncultured bacterium. RNAcentral describes it as "bacterial SSU rRNA". It matches the Rfam family "Bacterial small subunit ribosomal RNA", at positions 392 to 796 of the family's 1533-position model. The record is from RNAcentral.